GCCGAUGUGGCUCAGUGGCAGAGCAGCUGAUUCGUAAUCAGCAGGUCGCCGGUUCAAAUCCGGCCAUCGGCU
RNAcentral lists this transfer RNA (72 nucleotides) under Syntrophomonas wolfei subsp. wolfei str. Goettingen G311. Its description in RNAcentral is "Syntrophomonas wolfei subsp. wolfei str. Goettingen tRNA". It matches the Rfam family "tRNA". Rfam says of the family: Transfer RNA (tRNA) molecules are approximately 80 nucleotides in length. Their secondary structure includes four short double-helical elements and three loops (D, anti-codon, and T loops). Lineage: Bacteria; Bacillati; Bacillota; Clostridia; Eubacteriales; Syntrophomonadaceae. The record is from Rfam by way of RNAcentral. RNAcentral also lists the same sequence under 1 other name.